This is a long non-coding RNA of Pseudophryne corroboree (corroboree frog), 599 nucleotides long. RefSeq lists it as uncharacterized. The transcript has 5 exons. Lineage: Eukaryota; Metazoa; Chordata; Amphibia; Anura; Myobatrachidae. The record is from RefSeq and is a predicted model, not a curated record.
GUCUCUCACAGUUAAAGUGCACCUAUGAUGGGAAUUACAGAGCUCUCUCAUCUUUUUAAGUGGGUCAACUUGCACAAUCGGUGGCUGUCCAAAUACUUUUUUGCCCCACUGUAUGUAUUUCAAAUGAUGUAAUCUGUGGGCCUGAGGAGAGAUCCUUGCUUCUCUGCUAUGGAGAGAGGGAGGAGCAAGGGAGCUGCCAAACAAGAAGUGCAGAGCAAGAGCUGACAAUAUACUGCAAUCAGUACGCCAGACCAGCGCUCCAGACAGGCCACUGCCAACUGAUGUGGGUGCUGGGAUUGCAGGUUCUUAUUCUGCAAGCCGCCCUCUAAGGCGCCCAUCACAGGUCUAUGUAAACUUACCCAGGAGGCCAAGUAAGACGCGCCGUGUGGAUUUGGAAUCAGCGGAUCCAUCUUCCCCACCCAGGCGGCGCAUCUCUGCAGUCUUGUCCCAGCCACCACAGGCACUAUUGUGUAGUCCCCAAAGUGAUGAGCCCCGAUCACCUCAGUUAUCUGAACCAACCUUCACGUCCGACGUUGACCAGCAGGAACCAGAACAACAAGCCACCUAUACACUGCACCUAACACCCGUUGUUCCGACCC